Molecule: transfer RNA, 65 nt
Filed under: Macropes robustus
Lineage: Eukaryota; Metazoa; Arthropoda; Insecta; Hemiptera; Blissidae
Description: tRNA-Phe
Source: RNAcentral
ACUUAGAUAUCUUAAUUUAAAGUUUAAUAUUGAAGAUAUUAAUAUGGAUAUUUGUCCUCUAGGUA